This 429-nucleotide ribosomal RNA is filed under the name Pseudomonadota bacterium. RNAcentral's name for it is "Proteobacteria bacterium partial 16S ribosomal RNA". It matches the Rfam family "Bacterial small subunit ribosomal RNA", at positions 355 to 776 of the family's 1533-position model. Lineage: Bacteria; Pseudomonadati; Pseudomonadota. The record is from RNAcentral.
UGGGGAAUAUUGGACAAUGGGCGAAAGCCUGAUCCAGCCAUGCCGCGUGUGUGAAGAAGGUCUUCGGAUUGUAAAGCACUUUAAGUUGGGAGGAAGGGCAGUAAGCGAAUACCUUGCUGUUUUGACGUUACCGACAGAAUAAGCACCGGCUAACUCUGUGCCAGCAGCCGCGGUAAUACAGAGGGUGCAAGCGUUAAUCGGAAUUACUGGGCGUAAAGCGCGCGUAGGUGGUUCGUUAAGUUGAAUGUGAAAGCCCCGGGCUCAACCUGGGAACUGCAUCCAAAACUGGCGAGCUAGAGUAGGGCGGAGGGUGGUGGAAUUUCCUGUGUGGCGGUGAAAUGCGUAGAUAUAGGAAGGAACACCAGUGGCGAAGGCGACCACCUGGGCUCAUACUGACACUGAGGUGCGAAAGCGUGGGGAGCAAACAGG